This 33-nucleotide transfer RNA is filed under the name Pitcairnia piepenbringii. RNAcentral's name for it is "partial tRNA-Leu". RNAcentral also lists the same sequence under 2 other names. The record is from RNAcentral. Lineage: Eukaryota; Viridiplantae; Streptophyta; Magnoliopsida; Poales; Bromeliaceae.
GCCGCCAUGGUGAAAUCGGUAGACACGCUGCUC